Molecule: ribosomal RNA, 468 nt
Filed under: uncultured bacterium
Lineage: Bacteria
Description: partial 16S ribosomal RNA
Rfam family: Bacterial small subunit ribosomal RNA
Source: RNAcentral
GACGAACGCUGGCGGCGUGCUUAACACAUGCAAGUCGAACGGAAAGGCACUACUUUUGUUGGGUGCUCGAGUGGCGAACGGGUGAGUAACACGUAGGUAACCUGCCCUUUAGUGUGGGAUAACUUCUGGAAACGAUGGCUAAUACCGCAUAAGAGCUGCUGCUGCAUGAUGUUUGUUGGAAAGUUGCGUCGGUUUGGGUAGGACGCGGGGCUUCUCAGCUUGUUGGUGUGGGAGUGGCUUACCAAGGCUUUGACGGGUAGCCGGCCUGAGAGGGUGACAGGCCACAUUGGGAUUGAGAAACGGGCAGGACUGCUACGGGAGGAAGCAGUGGGGAACAGUCCACGAUGGGCGGAAGCCGGAUGCAGCAAUGUCGCGUGCGGGAUGACGGCCUUCGGGUUGGAAACCGCUUUAGCCUGUGACGAAGCGUGAGUGACGGUAAUUGGUAAAGAAGCAACGGCUAACUACGUG